GCCUAAGUGUCAGAAGAGAAGGCAAGUCUCAGAGUUUUUUUUUUGUUUUUUGUUUGUUUUGUUUUGUUUUUGGUUCUUUUUUUCGGAGCUGGGGACCGAACCCAGGGCCUUGCGCUUCCUAGGUAAGCGCUCUACCACUGAGCUAAAUCCCCAACCCCAAGUCUCAGAGUCUUAAAGCAGCCUAAGCCCACCCUAUAACACGUAGGCCAAAGUUCCUAGAACCCGUGUCUCUCUCAUUACUAGGAAGGACUUUUAGUAGGGCAAAAUGUGGACACAACUGCCCUGAGUGAGACUCUAGAACAAUGGUUCUCAGCCUUCCUAAUGCUGCGUGUGACCCUUUAGUACAGCUCCUCAUGCCCUGGUGACCCCAACCAUAAAAUUAUUUUCAUUACUACUUCAUAACUGUAAUUUUGGUACUCUUACGAACUGUAAUAUAGGUAUCUGAUAUGCAGUACAUGUGAUAUGUGACCCCUAUGAAAUGGUUGUUUAUCCCCAAAUGUGUCUCAACCUACAGGUUGAAAACCAGUGCUCUAGCAGGCUGGUGUACACAGGCCUAGCAGGGCAUAACUUGUCACACACCUUCCCAAGGUCAACACUCUCCAACACAUGUUCAACCAUGAUGAGCAGAGGCACAGUGAUGAGGGGUUUGCAAAAAGCCAACACUUAAGACAACAAAUUGGUGCUCCAAGACACUCUAGAUUUUUGUUUGUUUUUGUUUUCUUUUAGGGUUUCUCUGUGUCUCCCUGGCUGUCAUGGAACUCCCUCUGUAGACCAGGCUGGCCUCAUACUCAAAUAGACCUGCCUGAGUGCUGGAACCAAAGGCGUGCGCCACAACUCAGAGAUCUGGUGGCCUCUGUCUCCUGAAUGCUGGGACUAAAGUCAUGUGCCACCACUGCCUGCUGACACUCUACAAUCCUCAAACAUGAAAAUUCCUGAAGACCAUACAGUUCCAGAGAGGAGGAAGCACUGGUGCUCAAACCUGGGACUACACACGCGUCAGGCAAGUGGCCUACCCUAGGCUGCAUCCCAAUCCCUAGCCCCAGGUAUUACUUAUAGUAAGAAUGGCAUGAAAUAAUCUUUGUAAAAGGGCCAAACAGGGCCAGGUGUGGUGGUGCACACCUUUAGUCCCAGCACUCAGGCACAUCUAUUUGAGUAUGAGGCCAGCCUGGUCUACAGAGGGAGUUCCAGGACAGCCAGGGCUACAUAGAGAAACCCUGCCUCAAAAGAAAAAGGGAGAGGGAGAGGGAGAGGGAGAGGGAGAGGGAGAGGGGGAGGGAGAGGGGGAGGGAGAGAAAGAGAGAAAGAAAGAAAUUCGGGACUGAGAAAAGGGACUGAAAAGGAAAUGUAUACAUGGACGCGCACACACACACACACACACACACACACACACACACACACACACAGUCAGAAGGGCUGUUUGUGUGCUUACAAGCACUUCCUUUGUUUAAAAUAUGAAAGCAAAGUGCAGAGAGAAGGUGGCCAGUGUAAGUCAUGAGCAGAGUAGGGUCACAGCUGCAGAUGGGUCGCAGGAGUUUCCAUGCACCACACAGGUAGUCACAGUGCAGCAUCCUGGUUUAAUACUGUGUCAGGUAAAUCAGUCACUAGCUAGGUGUGGUGGUGCACACUGUAAUUCCAGCAUUCAGAAGGCAGAGGCAGGCAGAUCUCUGUGAAUUUGAGGCCAGUCUUAUCUACAAAGUGAGUUCCAGGAAAGCCAGGUCUUUACACAGAGAAACUCUGUCUCACAAAACAAAACAAAAAAAGAAGCCAGUCACUACCCACCCAACAGUGGCUGACUGGCUGAACACCUAUUUUGUAAGCUUUCUUUCAGGCUCUAGGGGCAGAGAACACUGCACGCCAUUCCUGCCCUUGAGGAGUGCCCAGUCUGCAGCAAGGGAGGGAAAAGGGUGGAUGCUGCAAGGGGAAAGCACUGAGGUCCGGGGAGCUCUGCAAGCAGACGAGGAACGUCCAGGUCAUGAUAUAUGCACCUCUGCAAAGGGGCAGGCUCUCUCCCCAUUGUGUUUCCUGCAGUAUCAUACCGGUGCCUGCCAUGUGGAUGCAUCAGUAAGCAUUUGCUGAAGCAGUGACUUUGUUGUUGGGUAGAUUCCCCAGGCUCGGGAGUACAAGGCAAACAAGUGAGUAAGGCAUACUGUUAAGACUUAGUUCUGGGCUAAACUUCUGCUCAAUAUCCCACAUGCCAGACUCAAGUGAAAAACUGAGUCAUGUGUGCUAACUUGGAACUGAAUUCCAGGAGAGCAGGAGAGGCGUGGCCCAGUGUCCUAAACAGGCCGGUGCCUACGGACAGGAAUUCAGUGACUAAGAUGAUGCUUAGUCUCAAAAGGAGGCUGAACUGAGCCCAUCAGUCACUUCCCUGGUUCUGCCCCCUGUCAGCUCACACAGGAAGUCACCUGAGGUGUCAGUUUACUUUCUGUUCAGUUUCUUCCUCUUACCCCUGUGUAGUCAUCAAGCGUCUAUUCAUCUCACUGGAAUGCUCAUUCUGUUUUGUGGACUGAAGGUCCUGCCUGACUCUUAACAGGCAAACAGAGCUGACUGAGAUCUUUAACUGCCUUGUAAUGCUGUCCUUUGGCAAUAGUUGAGUGGAACCUUCGCACACAUAGCAGCCCAGGGGACAGGGUGGGGCAGUAGCUUUAGUUUACCUGCUGACUUCCAUCCUUAGCCUGCUGAGGGCCUGCAUUUUCCUCUUCACUGGCAUUUACAGCUUCCUCCACAGACCUUAAGGAAAGAUGUCAAAUAUGACCCUGUGAAGCCACAGGAAGAUGUAGAACAGGGAGGGUGAAGCAAGUGGGUACAAGAACUGGCAAGGCUGGGGCUGUCGUGGGGCGUCACAGCCAUAUCCCUGCUGUCCUCAUGGGAGGUACUCAUUUCUCAGCACUUCAGGUGGGGAAGAGCACUGUUGGUUUUGCAGAGUCCUGGGUUCAAUCCCCAAUGUUCACAGACACACCUAGUGUACAUGCAUACAAGCAAGAACACUCAAACACACGAAAUAAAUCUAAAUAAAACUUAAGUCUUUACUUUUAAAACUUUUAAAAUUAACUAAUCGGGAUAUAAUAUUUAUACUUAAUAAACCUAGCUGAGUUCUGUUGCUCUGUGGUGGUACCAGGUCUCACUAUGUAGCUUUGGCUAUCCUGGAACUCAUUACGUAGACCAGGCUGGCCUCAAACUCAGAGAUCCUUUUGUCUCUGCCUCCCCAGUGCUGGGGCCCUGUGCUGUUGCAAUGGACAUUACAUUGACGACUGCUGUGUACUAUUUAAACUCAGGGAGAAGGUGUCUGUGGAGAUGGUUUGUCUCCAUGUGUCCUGGUUAAGAGCAUGUACCGGGAGACCGGGGUCUGCUCCUACACCCUCACUGGUGACACCGUCAGCAAGGGUCCUUGGUGCCAGCAAAAUCUCCAGAUCCUCCUCCUUCCUCAGCUGCUGUCUGCUGGGUGUUUGUAAGCCAUCUUAUUUUUCGGAUGGUGUAAGACAUCUGUUUCAAUCAAGUCCCCUUGUUAUUUGUUCUUUUUACUUGGAAGGAAGCCUCGCCCAAGGGGAUGCUUUAAUCUGCUUGGGAGUAUUUUUAUUGGGAACACAGCUAAUCCGUUAAAGAAUUCCUAGUCAAUGUCUACUGUGGUUUUAAAAGUUGCCAUUUGCCUACUGAUGUAACUGCAGAGACUUUCCACGUGGAGCAUGAGGCAGCCUGGGGUUUCAGUACAGGAAGGGCUGCUCUCCUAGUUCUGCGACUAAAACCACCUGUGUCCUGUUCUUGCCUUUGCUUUAUCUUCUCUGUUAUAUCAAACGAGACGGAGAAAUUAGGUUUGUUUUCUCUCUUCCUAGUUUGGCCAGGUCGAAGUUGCAAUAAACUGGGUUUCCUUUAUUAACUUUCUGGUCUCCCAGCUUUUCGUUUAGAAUUGGUGAGGAGUGAACCUACUCUCUGACCAUGUCCCCAGCAUGUCUGGCACCAGAAGUAGUUUGAGGUAUGGCUUUCGCCGAGACUACCUACCCUGUCCCGAGCACAGUAAGUAGUAUAGCACAUCUUGAAGCCAGACUGGAGAAGACUUUCAGCUUCCUUCUAUGAAAUUUACUUUGGUGAUGUGCUGUCCUUUGCAUUCCUAUGUAAGUUUCAGGAUCAGUUUUAGAAAGAAAAGAGACUUUUUUUUUCAGUGUUGGGAAUGAAGAAGGCCUCCUGCACCAUAGAUAAGUGUACAACCAUGAAACUACAUCCCAGAGCCAAAUCAAAUCGAUAAUUCUGUUUCUUAUUUAAAGUAUUUUUACAGUUAUCUCUUUGUGUGUGUGUGCGUGCGUGCGUGUGUAUACAUGCUGGCAUGAAAGAAAUGGGGAAGGUCAAAAGACAACUCCCAGGGAUCGAGACAUGGGUUGUCAGGUGCCUUUACCCCCUGCACCAUCUCACCGGUCCUGGUACUUGGUUUAAAAGAUCAUUUACCCAAGUGUCCACAGAAGCCACACAGAAACACGAUUUCACUUUGUAUGCUGACUGCGUCUCUGUGAUAGUGGUGAACUAGUUGGGUUUGGUAGUCUUGAAGGAUUUCCCACAGACAGAAUUUCCCUGUUUGUAGACAGAACAAUGGAUCCAUGUUUAGGGUUUACUGUGUUUCCUAAGAAUGUUAGCUCUUUGAUUUUGUAAAAUGCUCUCUCUUAUCAUUUCGUAUACUACACAUGCACACACGCACGCAGGCACACAGUACUCAGGACUGAACUUAGGGCCUUUCUCCUGAUACACAAGACCACUGGGUUAUGGCCCCCAUCCCACUAAUUCUCCUCAGCUGCAUUUAAUCUCUUGCAGCACUGGGGUCGAUUUAUUUGGGGUUUUUUUUGUUUUUUUUUUUCUUUUCUUUUCUUUUUUCUUUUUUUCUUUUUUUCGGAGCUGAGGACCGAACCCAGGGCCUUGCCCUUGCUAGGCAAGCGCUCUACCACUGAGCUAAAUCCCCAACCUGUUUUUUUAUUUUUUUUAACCCUUGUUCAUUUGUUUAUAUUCCCAAAGCAAGAUUAAAUAUAGAAACUUCAUCAGUCAGGCCCCAGUCAUUGCAAGCCUGACCUCUAAUGACGUGUCUCAUAAAAACUCCUGGAAACGAACUCCUAACUAGUACUGGAAAAGGAGGGCCACCAUGUUGUGCUCCAUAUGGGCAGGGGCCUAUUCUCAUCCUCACACUUUCUCCUCCCUGUCUUCCUCUCUCUGCUAUUUGCUACCAUUGUUCUCCGGAGUGGGAGGAAGCAGAAUGUGAGGCAGUGCAGGCUCCCUGCUCCCCUCCUGACGACGUGACAGUCACAUAGAUGACCAGGCUUUUGUUUCUCCACAUCUCAUCAUUUCAUGACUGAUCUGUGGCCAAGUUUUAGGCUGUGAGACCCUGUGAGGUCAGCUGAGCCCGAAUAUUCUCUGACUCCAGACGAAAGGGUGGCUACAAAGUGAACCCAAGCUUUACUUUCAUAAGUGUGUAGGGUGCUCUGUGGGGUCCACAGCUACGGGAUUAGCUCAGGAUUCUAGGGGUGAAGUGUGGCUGCCCCUUCAUAGGGUCCAUGUUGUCUUGCACUCCCGUUCUAUCUAACACUCUGUGGCCACCGCCACUGCUGUGGGACCCCUGUCUUUAGGGAGGCUCUCCUUCUCUGCUAGUGCCUAGCGCCCUGUGUAAUCUCUGUACCCCACAUUUCUGGGACUAGCGGUGGGGCCUUGAAAACCGCCUAAUGCUCAAGUGUUUUUGCAAAAUAUGAAGACUUUGGUUGGUUUAUGCUUGGGAUGUAAGCAGAUAAAGCAGAAGCAUUUUCUGUGCUUCAAAUAGUCACACUUAGUCAGACUCUCAAAAAUACCCUGUCUUUUCCCCUUAGGGGACUGUCAAGACCAAGCUCGCUCGCUCGCGUUCGUUCUCUCUCUCUCUCUCUCUCUCUCUCUCUCUCUCUCUCUCUCUCUCUAGUAGGCUUGUCUUAUUAAUUCCUGCUAAAAAGGGUACAAGGCUGGUGAGCUGGCUCAGAGGGCCGAGGCACCUGCUGCCAAGCCUGACAACCUGAGUCGGAUCCCCCAGGCUCUACAGCAUGGAAGGAGAGAAACAGCUCGUGCUGUCACCUCUGACCCCUGCAUGUGUACUGUGGGCAUAAGCUAAAGGCAACCACACUUCAGUUUCAUAGGUGGGCCCUGGUCAUCACUCUUUGUUUUUUUCAAAAGAAAAACACGACCAUUCUGGCAGAACAAUGGGACCACUAAAGGAGAAAACAGACUACAGUUAAGUCUAGAGGACCACACAGCAGCAUCUUAAAUCCCGAGAAAGACCUGGUUCUCAGGGCCACAGCUUCAUAGGCCCUUCAUCACCAUUAACUAGCUUCUGUGAAAGAAGAAAAUUCUGUAAAGAUACAAGUGCUCUUGGUCCAGCCUGCUGUCACCAGACUCAGCAAAAGCCACCAUUUACUAUCUCCCAGUUCUUCAGAACUGAUGAUGCCUUUGUGACUACAAAUGGUAACACAGGGUUAAUGUUUAAAAAUCUGUUCUUUGGCUCUGUGUGCUCUGCCUCCUUCUGACUUUUCUCCUAAGAUAAUUUCAUUAACUGAAGGUCAUUCAAUGUGGAACUUUUGUCAUCUUGGCUGGCUUUUGCUGGAAUGUAACACUCUGUAAUUCUUGGACUUUUGUUUGACCAAGAAAAAAAUGUUUAUAAUUUCUUUUACAUUCAAAAUGGCAAUGAAAUCUGCUUAAGAACUACCCUAGUCAAGAACAACGCGCAAACAGAUAACCUUCAAUUAUUACAUUAUGCCGUACACAGUCUAGUUCUUUUAGGAUACUGGUAAGUUUAUAUGUCAUGCUGCUUUGCCUCCUAACUAGAUCUUCAACAUGAAGUAUUUUAGUACAUAAGGAAGAAAGUGAACAAAAAACCAGUAAAUAAGAGAAAAUGGUGUACAGUAUACAGAAUGUAAGCAUGAAAGUAAUUUGGGGAUUAAAGAAGGAUUUUUCGCUUAGUAAAAGAAGAUUUUGUCCUAAAGUAAAAUAACAGUUUUUCAGAAUGAAGAAUAACAAUAAGAACAAAAACUUAGCUACACUUAGAAAGACUGUGGAAGUCGACCCUUAGAGGGGCUGGAGAGAUGGCUCAGUGGUAAAGAGCACUGACUGCUCUUCCUGAGGUCUUGAGUUCAAUUCUCAGCAACCACAUGAUGGCUCACGACCAUCUGUAAUGAGAUCUGAUGCCCUCUUCUGGUGUGUCUGAAGACAGCUACAGUGUACUCAUAUGAAUAAGAUAAAUCUUAAAAAAAAAAAAAAAAAGCCCACCUCUGUGCUUCUUCUGUUAUUGUAAAACAACCAAAAUCAAAGCCAAUCAACCAACAAGGCCUCCACACAGCUGAGCCUGUGCUGCUCAUCUCAGUCUCCACUUAGCCUCUCCUGUGAGUCUCAGGCACGAAGGAGCUCUGGGGCACCCCUGGGCCCAGGACGCAUUUACUGAUGGUAUUUGCCUGCAUCUCCUAUCGUCUCCAUUCUCUCCAUUGUAGGGGCUGACAGGAAAGUAAGAUUCAACCCCGAUUUUCUGCCUCCUGUUGAACAGCAGCCUCUUGCCUUCCUGCUCUCUACUGCGUGGGCUUCCCCUUCAGUCCAUGUUUCUUCCUUCUUCACUGUUGGCUUUCAUGGUUUGAAUAGACAGGGCUGUGGUUGGUCUUUCUUACCCCUCUACUAAGAUUUCUUUAAAAAAAUUUUUUGUUUUUUUUUUAAGAUGUGUGCAUGACGGGGGAGGCUCAGAUGGAAUCAGCCUCUCUCCUUUGACCUCCCUGUGGCUUCAGGUGUGAGCGCUCACACAGCAAACACCUUAUAUUCUGAGCCAUCCUGCCUGCCCUCUCACAGGACUCCUUGUUGUGUUCUUCGACGCUCUCAACACCUAUCCAUAUUUGUUUUUUGCAAAAUCCAAUAACCCCUUGGGUAACUCUUCGGGAAUCCUCCUGGGAACUCUGCUGCCUGCAUUUGGCUCUACUGUCUUGUCUCUCUUCUUCUUCUUCUUUUUUUUUUUUUUUAAUUUAUUUUUUUAGGAGCUGGGGACUGAACCCAGGACCUUGUGCUUGCUAGGCAAGCGCUCUACCACUGAGCUAAAUCCUCAACCCUUGUCUUGUCUCUCUUAUUUGUUUGUUUAUUGUUUUUUGAGACAGAGUUUCUCUGUGUAGCUCUGGCUGUCCUGGAACUCUGAGACAGCCUGCCUCUGCCUCCCGAGUGCUGGGACUAGAGGCCUGUGUCACCACCGCCCUCCUGUUCCAUCACCGUUUUAGUUUGUACUCUGCUUUAUGGUUUGAACCUUACUUCAACCUUCUGGAAUUUUUCAGAUCAUCAAGUUCCAGAUGGUAUUGUCACAGAGACAUUAACGAUUAGUCACGCCAUCGAUGCCUGUCUCCUGCCACAGAGAGCCUCUAGGUCUCCAAUGAUGUCAUACUCUAACCUUGUGAUGGACACUCCUCUCUGCAAUGCCUCUCAAGUGUCCACAUCCUAAGAUCUUGGGACCCUGGCAUGAGUCAGCAAAGCUAAGAGGCAUCUCUGGCCCACACCUCUCUGAAGAUCCAGGAGCCUGUUCUGUAUGACCUUGUUCAUCUGUCAGGAAGGAAAUGUAGACACGAAAGACCAAAAGUAAAAGUAAAAUUCCCACUUUUAUGAAUACAGUAACGAUCAUCUGAAGGCUGAUCCUUAGUGGCCCAUAGAGUUUACAGGAAUACCUGGAGCCUGACCUCUUCCACAGUAAAAUUUACUGCUUGGUAAAAUAACAAGAUACUGUGCCUGUCCACCUACUUAGAAAACUCUCACACAACUGUCCUCUCAAUUGCUAUAACGAAUGUCAGCUCCCUUUCAGUCCCACGAUCCCACCCCAAAACCAACGCUCUACUUCAGUGCAUUGCAGUGAGUUCUCUCCUUGUCUAUUUUGGUAAAUUCUUUUACCUCCAACACCACCAAACUUCCAAAUACAGUCCCACAUCAAGAACGAAAGAGAGCAUUAAGGAACAAGAAAAGAGGAAGAAGCCCUCAUCCAAGUCGUCUGAAUUCUCUCAACAGCUAACUAGCAAAAUUCACUGGAUACUGCCUGAUAAAACAUUUGAUUUUAUAGAAAUGUCAAACUAGAAUGUUGCAAGGUGUGGCGGCCCACCUUUAAUCUCAAUAUGCAGGUGAACUUUGUGAGCUCGAGACUAGCCUGGUCUACUUGGUGAAUUUCAAGCUACCUAGGCUAUACAGUGAUAGUCUGUCCCAAAACAACAACAACAACAACAACAAAAAAACCCAAAUAAACAAACAAACCCCAAACCAAACCAAAAGAACAACAAAACAAAGCAAUACAGACAAACAAAAUCUCAAGAGCAAAGUGUACCUUUGAGUUUACUCAUUUCCUGUAAAGUUCAGGCUGUAAACCUGUAACUUUCUGUGACUUGGACAAACAAGAGUAUGAACUUUGUCUACAGUAAACACACGCCUUAAGUCUGGCAUGCUGGUCUAACCUCUUACUGAACACCAUAGAUGCAGAGGCCUAUCUUUCUGAGUUCCAGGCUAGCCAGGGCUAUACACAGAGGCUCUGUUCAAACAAACAGUCCCUGUAGCCUAGCACAGCUAGGGUUUCUUGCAGGGGCUGGGGGUGGGGGUGGGGGUGGGAUGGGGGUGAGGGUGGGCCAGCUAGACGAAGGAUGCUGAGAAAGGCUGUCCCAGAACUCAUGAUGUAGAUCAGGUAGCCUCAAACUCAACUGCCUCUGCCUCCCAAGGGCUGGGAUUAAAGGUGUGAGCUACCACCUGGCUAAAACUUUAAAAAAUAAGUUCAAAACUUCAUACUGAGUUGUCCUGAGAGCCUUCUGAGGCAAGGCUCUACCUUCAGUGCACAUGGUGACACACGGUGACACACGCCUUUAAUCCUGACAUUUGGGUGGCAGAGGAAGGUGGCUCUCUAUGAGUUCAAGGCCAUUCUGGUCUACAUAGUGAAUUCAAGGACAGCCCGGGCUAUAAAGAGAGACCCUGUCUCAAAAGAGCAAAACCAAAAAGGAAUCCUAUUUUUGCCUGAGUAGAGCGAUCUCUGGGCCAACUCAGGGCUGCAGUCAGGAGGGUAGAGAAGCAUAUCCUGUUUCCAGGGCCACUGUCAGUCCCAUACAGACCAUUUAAACCAGAAUGUACCUUUCCCAAGGUGGGUCACAGAGACUCAACCCUGGCUUGUCUUUCUGGUUAUAGAGUAUCAAUAAAUUCUUUGUUCUACCCUUAUCUCAUAGGUCCCAGGACCUCUUCGUUCUAGAAGAAUGAAGAGUACUCACUGGAAGAAGGAGUGCUACACAAAGGCCAAGAAUGUCAGAGCUGACAGGCUGCUCUGGGCUUUCCUGACGGUGUAUCAGCAAUCAUGUCCAUCUACAUAAAAACCCAGAAGGCAGGCGGGGUUCAGAGAGCUCCCAGGACCAGGGAGGCAGGCAAUGAGAACUCAUGCUGUGCCAGGAGGGUGGCACACUCUAGCACCAGGGGAACAGAAACUCCAGCCACUUGAGAGCCUCCCAGGCCUCCCCGUGCGCCUGUCCAUAUGGGUGCUUUAUUUUGAGACAGGGUCUCAUGUAGUUCAGGCUAGCUCUGAACUCACUAUGCAGUCAAGGGUAACCUUAAAUUUAUGAUCCUCCAGGCUCCAUCUCCUCAGUGCUGGGAUUAUAGGCAUCCAGAUCAUACCCAGCUUCCACUUGGCUUCCCCCGCCCCCUUGAGAUAGGGUUUCUUUGGGUAGCCUUGGCUGCCUAGCUUUGUAGACCAGGCUGGCCUUAAACUCUGCCUUCUGAGUGUUGGGAUUAAAGGUGCUCCUACUACACCCAGGUCCUUUUGGCUGUCUCUAAGUCUCAAAUUGCCAGCCCUGCCCUCCCUGCCUUGUUUGUGGUUGAGCACAGCAAACACAUACCACACACUUUAAGUUUUGUGGGUCCAGGGCCUUGCCUGCUGCUCAAGCUCCAUCCUGGCGGGCACUCCACAGGCUUUAAAGUCUGCACAUUCACUCCUUGACCUUUGUCUGCUGGGGUUCUUAAGGGCAGGUUGGAGCUAGGCUGCUGCAGAGAAAAGCUGCCCUGACCUCCACCUCCUGGGCUAAGUGGAAACAAACUCUAAGCAUGGCUCUCAGGGUGAGAGCAAAUGCUGAAGCCCAUCGGAAGGCUUCCCCGUGUGUCAGUGUCAGAGGAAUUUCUUCAGUUCAAGGUCAGUAUGGGGCAAGCAUCCUGCUGCACAGUGGGGCUUUCUGUGGCUCACUGUAUAAUGGGGCAUAAGCCUCUGGACACUCAGCUGCUUACAAGCCACUCAGAGCCAGGCAGAGUGGCACACCUGUCACUUCAGUGCCCACAGGCAGAGGAAAGAGGAGCUAGAGUCUGAGGCCAGUCUCAAUAAGGCAAGAAGAGGCACUGAACCCACACACACAGAGGACCACAAAUUGACACUCCAUCUCUAAAUAUAAGUAGGGCAGUCCCUUACUGAAUCAACGAAGUUCUGCCUGCAGUUUCCUGUGCCCCUCAGACAUCAACCUGUGAUCUUGAGUACAGUCCCAGGCGCUCUGCAGCCUAGGUGUCUGUGUGGAUUUUGACUUUCACUUCAUUCUUGACCUCUUAAGGGACCUUAUUUUCUUGCUGGCCAGGUUUGCAUGUAAACUAUUACAGCCACAGGCUGGUGACAUGACUCAGCAGGUAAAGGCACUCGCCACACAAGCCAGGUGACCUGAGUGAUCUUUAGAACCGACACAAUGGUAGAAUCAACUUUACAAAGUUGUCCUCUGAUUUGCACAUACACACAGACACAAUAGUAGUAAAUAAUGCAUUUAAAACUUCAAUUCAGGGGUUGGGGAUUUAGCUCAGUGGUAGAGCGCUUGCCUAGCAAGCGCAAGGCCCUGGGUUCGGUCCCCAGCUCGGGAAAAAAAAAAAAAAAAAAAAAAAAAACUUCAAUUCAGUAAAAAAAUUAGUUAUUUUCACUGAGAGUACGGCUCAGGGUGUUUAAUCCGUUCUGUGUUGCACGUGGACUUGUAAGGAAUUUAUCCAUCGCAAACUCCCAUCCCCUAAUCAACAUGCAACAAGGUAAAAAUUCUCCAUUCCUUUCAGAACACUAUACCUGAGUGACAGCUCUGACGCUUGUCCUUGAAGCAGAUUUAGCUUUUGGACAUGGCGUCUACAGUCAGCACCAGAGCCUUCGCCAUAAGCCUGAGGAAAAAAAAAAUUAAAGUGUUAGCAGAAUGGUGAGAAACACUUAGGACAACACUCGCAAAGCUUGAAGUGGUGUUAAGAAUAUGCAGGUCUUGGGCUGGAGAGAUGGCUCAGCAGUUAAGAGCACUGACUGCUCUUCCAGAGGUCCUGAGUUCAAAUCCCAGCAACCACAUGGUGGCUCACAACUAUCUGUAAUGAGAUCUGAUGCCCUCUUCUGGUGUCUGAAGACAGCUACAGCAUACUUAUAUAUAAUAAAUACGUUAAAAAAAAAAAAAAAAGAAUACGCAGGUCUAGCCAAGUGGUGUUGUUGAACACCUUUAAUCCCAGAACUCUGGAGGUAGUGACAAGUGGCUCCCUGAGUUCCAGGGCAGCCUGGUCUACAAAGGGAGUUCCAGAACAGCCAAGGCUACAAAGAGAACUCUGUGUCCUGGAAAGAUUCAUAAGCAAAUGGCACUGGCAUUUCUGACCAUCCCACUAUCAUGCAGAAUUUACUAAAGCCAAACUCAGCCUGCAUUGGGAAUCCAAGCAACUGCAGAUGGAAAGACACUAGUAAGAAGGUCUGUGUCAGUGAUGAACAUCAUUUGUUUGUUUGUCACUAUUCCCCAAAGCAGCACAGUACUGUACACAACAUGUACAGUGAGCUAUUACAAGGCACCAAGAGGUGAUUUAAACUAUGCUAGAGGAUCUGGGAGUGGCAGCACAAGCCUUUAAAGCCAGCAUCUGGGAGGCAGAGGCAGAGGCAGGUGGAUCUCUGUGAGAUCCAGGACAGCCAAGGAUAUGUAGAGACCGUGUGUCCAAACAAACAAACCAGUAUACAAAAGGCAGUAGAAUGUAUCUGUAAGUCUCAAUUACUUGGGAAGCUGAGGCAGGAGGAUAGCAUGAGCACCAACUGGAUAAUAUAAUAAUCCCAGUCAUCACAGCUCAAGAAAACACGCUGCAGGAUAUGCAGAGGUUAUGUGACAUUCCAUAGAGGGGUCUCCAUGGUUACCGAGGGCUGGCUGGGACUUGAGUGCUGAACUCUUGGUUGACAGAUGAAGUCCAACAGGACAAGAGAGCAGAGGAGAUGUUCUCUAAGCGUUUACUGUUCCCUGCCACCAUAUCUGCAGACAGUUCCCAGUGCAUGCUGGGCUGAGAACUCCUGUGGACUCCUGGUGUAUGACAGAGCAGAGUGGCCACGUGUACUUUGUGUGUGAUGUGCACACUGCAAGGUGCGUGGCACUGCAGUCCAGGAAGCCAGGUGUUCUGUCUGGACCAGGAACCAAGGAGGUAAGGUAAGAAUGGCUGAAUGCAAACAGAACAUGGUGGCACAUGAUUUUAACUCCACCACUCAGAAUCCGAGAGAGACGGGAGGACUGCUGCAGGUCUGAGGGUAGCCUGGACUACAUAGCAGCUAUGUAGUCUCAAACAAAACCAAACUAAAAAACCCAAACAGCUGAGUUUUAUCUAUUUCGCCUGUCCACUACUCAGCACAGAUGGGUUGUGAAUGAUGAAUUGUGCAUUUUGAUGAUGUGUAUGUACUGUGUUCUCAUUUGUUUGAAAUUGGCACUGCAAAACAGAAAGGCAAACAGCAAAAUUCAUGCUAUUCAUUGUGAAAGUAAUUUUUCUCUGCCUGAUGUAAUUGUUGUUUCUGAAGCUCUCUGCCUCUGCCUGCGAAUCUAGGUCUAGUCCUGGAAGUUUCUAGCCUCCAUACAAUCUAAUCUAGGCCUAGAAUGUUCUCAGCCUCUGAUACCUUCUGCUGAAUACGCUCACCCUUUCCUGUUCUUACUGACAUGUGGCUGGCUGGUCAGCUGAUCUGGCUCAAACUCCUCUCCAGCCUGACUGGUUCAAUCUGGCUUCUCUCAGUUUCUCCUGAACUGAUCUGACCUUAAACUUCUGCCUUCACCUGUGUCUAGCUUGUUCUCUCUUCAACCUGUCUCUGUACAAUUCUCCUGGUAAAACUGCCUCUACACUGCUCUCAAGUAGCUCCCUUUUUUCUCUGUUCUUGUGAGAGUUGGGCAGAUCUCAUUCUGUCAAAUCUUCCUCUGAUCUGUCCCUUUGUCUGCCACUUUCUUUUUUUUUUUUUUUUUUUUUUCUUUUCUUUUUUUUUGGAGCUGGGGACCGAACCCAGGGCCUUGUGCUUGCUAGGCAAGUGCUCUACCGCUGAGCUAAAUCCCCAACACCUGUCUGCCACUUUCAAACAUGGGUGCCACCUUCUACAAACUAACUCUAUCUUCAUUGUUUGCGAUUAAAGGUGUAUACUAAGGGUGUGUCUGUAUUCCAGCUUUUUUUUUUUUUUUUGGUUCUUUUUUUCGGAGCUGGGGACCGAACCCAGGGCCUUGCUGUAUUCCAGCUUUAUAGGUCUGUGUUAAGGACUGACCCAGACCACCUUUAGAAACAGUUUUUGGUUUUUUUUUUUCCAGUAAAUAAUACAAUCUUGGGAUUCACAGUGUGACCAAAUACCUUGCGACAAGUGAUAUGAAUUGUUGCCUUAAGAAGAAAAGACAUUAAACUUAAAGACAAGGCUUAAGGCUGAGUGCUAGUUCAGGGUGAAACAUGGGCAGUAUGUGCAAGACCCUGGCUUCAUUUUCUAGGACUCCAUUCCCUCAGGAAAGAAAAACCUGUAGUGGUUUCUUCUCCUGCCGAUUGAACAAGAGACUCCAUAUUUUCAGUCUGCACGUCUCACAACUAAGAACCGUAGGCCACCUGGCAGGCUCUGACAGGGCAGUGCUACAGCCCAGCAGCUUUCCUUUGUAACUUUCUCUAUUCUGAAACAGACUCGUGUAUUCUAGGCUGGCUUUGACCUUCUCCUGGCCGAGGGGGACCCUCUUUUCCCCACCUCCUGAGCACCAGAAUGCAGCUGGAUGCCACUGUGUCCUUUUUAAGGAGGAUCCCUUCGGUUACAGUGUUGGGAAGUGACCUGAUGACAGAAAUAGGUGGGUGAGUUAGGAAGCUACUGCUAACAGUAUAGGAAGAGGUUGACUCAGCCAGUGAGGUUGGAUGAGGCCACCCUCUGGAUCUAAUCUUAUUGGCAAUCAGUUGUCAUGUGAGGACCGUGAACUCACCUGUUUGGCAACAUGGAGGUCACUGACUGGCCACAGCAGUCAAGGCCUAGUAGAGUGUGGUCCUGUCUGCUGUGUGUUCAAGUGAGGGUAGACAGGAGUUGGGCACAGGGGACGACGGCAAGAUUAAAGAAGACUGAUAACCUGCAUCUGCUUUAACAGUGGAGGUGAAUGUUUUGCCUGGAUGUGUGUCUAUGUACCACAUAUGUGCCUGGUGCUGUCAGAGGUCAGAAGGCAUCGGAUCCCCUGGGACUGCAGUUAUGACUGUGAUUCACCAUGUGGGCACUGGGAACCAAACCUGGGUUCUCUGUAAGAAAAGCAAGUGCUCGCAACUGCAGCGCCAUCUUGGCUGCCCCUCCAUCCUAAACUCUUGCCUUCUAAGUGCUGGGACGACAGGUGUGCACCAGCACAUCCAGUUUUUCAACUGUUUGACGACUGUGCUCAGGGCCCCGUGCAUGCUAGAUGAACACUGUUAUAUCCUCAGCUCCCAAAGUGCUUCUGCCUGUCACUUCCCGGAAAGUGAAUCUUCCUGCAAAGAAGCCCUUUAAAACAGUGAUGCACACUUAGGACUCCGUCCUAAGGAAAUAGUACGUAGUUGGCCAAGUGAGCAAAGAGGCAGUUCCCUGCAGGUGCAAGGGAAUAGCUGUAAACGUAACUUUUAUCCUUCUGCAGUAUAUGUCUCCGAGGCGUACUGCCUCUGUCUGAUAACCUAGGCCUAGUCCUGGAAGCUGCUAGCCUCCAUACAGUCUAAUCAAGGCCUAGAAUGCUUUCAGCCUCUGAGACUUCCUGCUGAAAAAACUCACCCUUUCUUGUUCUUGUUCUUGAGCUCUGGCUGAUUCAACUCAGCUGCUCAGGCUCAAACGCCUCUCCAAGCUGAAUGAUUCAAACUGGAUUCUCUCAGCUUCUGACUGAAUUUACUCUACUUGGCCUCAUAAUAACUUUGGCAAUCUGUACUAGUCUUCUGUCUUCACCUGUGUCUAGCUUGUUCUCUCUCUGCAACCUGUCUCUGUACAACUUUAAUAAGACUGCCUUCUCCCUCUAUCCCUGUGCUGUUCCCUCUUGUGUUGUCUCUCUUUCCCCUCUCUUCUUGUAAGAGUUGGGCAGAUCCUGUUCUGUCGAAUCUUUCUCUGAUUCACCACUUUGCCUCUGAAUUAAUUUCACUUUCAAACAUGGGUGCUUCCUUCUACAAAUCGACUUUACCUUCAUUGUUUGGGAUUAAUGUCUGCAUUCUGGCCAGAUCACAGAGACUUAAAAAAGGUCUUUCGAUGUUGCUGAAUUAAAAUUCCUCUACAUACAGCUUGGUGGCAGAGUGCUAGCCUAGCAUUCAUGAGGCCCUGGGUUCAUCCCCAGCACUAAAGAAAAAGUAAAUGAAAACUUUGACUGCAGAGUUGUAAAUCGCAAUAAAAAUGACAAUCUCCUCUCAUCAA
This is a long non-coding RNA of Rattus norvegicus (Norway rat), 16603 nucleotides long. RefSeq lists it as uncharacterized. The record is from RefSeq and is a predicted model, not a curated record. Lineage: Eukaryota; Metazoa; Chordata; Mammalia; Rodentia; Muridae.